Molecule: ribosomal RNA, 443 nt
Filed under: uncultured bacterium
Lineage: Bacteria
Description: SSU rRNA
Rfam family: Bacterial small subunit ribosomal RNA
Source: RNAcentral
AGAACGAACGCUGGCGGCAGGCUUAACACAUGCAAGUCGAGCGCCCCGCAAGGGGAGCGGCAGACGGGUGAGUAACGCGUGGGAACAUACCCUCCGGUUCGGAAUAGCUCAGGGAAACUUGGAUUAAUACCGGAUACGGCCUAGCGGCGAAAGAUUCAUCGCCGGAGGAUUGGCCCGCGUUCGAUUAGCUAGUUGGUGAGGUAACGGCUCACCAAGGCGACGAUCGAUAGCUGGUCUGAGAGGAUGAUCAGCCACAUUGGGACUGAGACACGGCCCAAACUCCUACGGGAGGCAGCAGUGGGGAAUAUUGGACAAUGGGCGCAAGCCUGAUCCAGCCAUGCCGCGUGGAUGAUGAAGGCCUUAGGGUUGUAAAGUCCUUUUAACGGGAAGAUAAUGACGGUACCCGUAGAAUAAGCCCCGGCUAACUUCGCGCCAGCAGCCGC